Cervus elaphus (red deer) is the source of this 402-nucleotide long non-coding RNA. RefSeq lists it as uncharacterized. The transcript is spliced from 3 exons. NCBI's taxonomy places the organism in Eukaryota, Metazoa, Chordata, Mammalia, Artiodactyla, Cervidae. The record is from RefSeq and is a predicted model, not a curated record.
CACAACUGGGCCUGCGCCCUCUGCAGCCCGCCUGCCACUGGAGAAGCCCGCCCACUGCAACAACCAUCCUACCAACCACAACUAAGACCCAAGGCAGCCAAAUAAAAAGAGUGAGAAGGAUGAAGAAAGUGCCUUGGACAACCACAACAACUCACAUGCAACCAAAACUAAGUGAUCGCCCCAAAUACCAUCAACAGUGUUUUCUGUCAAAACAUUUCAAAUACCCCUCAUACUCCCGAGCAAUUUUAAAGCUGCAAGAAACCAGCCAAAAAGGAAGAACAGAAAGACUCCUCCCAGCAUCUAUACAGUUGGUAAACCAAGGAACUCUCAGCAGAAGUGACCUGCCUCUGACCUCCAGCUUUCCUCAUCUCACCACCACUGCUGCCAUUUGAAAAGAACCUA